GACGAACGCUGGCGGCGUGCUUAACACAUGCAAGUCGAACGGAAAGGCCCUGCUUUUGUGGGGUGCUCGAGUGGCGAACGGGUGAGUAACACGUGAGUAACCUGCCCUUGACUUUGGGAUAACUUCAGGAAACUGGGGCUAAUACCGGAUAGGAGCUCCUGCUGCAUGGUGGGGGUUGGAAAGUUUCGGCGGUUGGGGAUGGACUCGCGGCUUAUCAGCUUGUUGGUGGGGUAGUGGCUUACCAAGGCUUUGACGGGUAGCCGGCCUGAGAGGGUGACCGGCCACAUUGGGACUGAGAUACGGCCCAGACUCCUACGGGAGGCAGCAGUGGGGAAUAUUGCACAAUGGGCGGAAGCCUGAUGCAGCAACGCCGCGUGCGGGAUGACGGCCUUCGGGUUGUAAACCGCUUUCGCCUGUGACGAAGCGUGAGUGACGGUAAUGGGUAAAGAAGCACCGGCUAACUACGUGCCAGCAGCCGCGGUGAUACGUAGGGUGCGAGCGUUGUCCGGAUUUAUUGGGCGUAAAGGGCUCGUAGGUGGUUGAUCGCGUCGGAAGUGUAAUCUUGGGGCUUAACCCUGAGCGUGCUUUCGAUACGGGUUGACUUGAGGAAGGUAGGGGAGAAUGGAAUUCCUGGUGGAGCGGUGGAAUGCGCAGAUAUCAGGAGGAACACCAGUGGCGAAGGCGGUUCUCUGGGCCUUUCCUGACGCUGAGGAGCGAAAGCGUGGGGAGCGAACAGGCUUAGAUACCCUGGUAGUCCACGCUGUAAACGGUGGGUACUAGGUGUGGGGUCCAUUCCACGGGUUCCGUGCCGUAGCUAACGCUUUAAGUACCCCGCCUGGGGAGUACGGCCGCAAGGCUAAAACUCAAAGGAAUUGACGGGGCCCCGCACAAGCGGCGGAGCAUGCGGAUUAAUUCGAUGCAACGCGUAGAACCUUACCUGGGUUUGACAUGGAUCGGGAGCGCUCAGAGAUGGGUGUGCCUCUUUUGGGGUCGGUUCACAGGUGGUGCAUGGCUGUCGUCAGCUCGUGUCGUGAGAUGUUGGGUUAAGUCCCGCAACGAGCGCAACCCUUGUUCACUGUUGCCAGCACGUUAUGGUGGGGACUCAGUGGAGACCGCCGGGGUCAACUCGGAGGAAGGUGGGGAUGACGUCAAGUCAUCAUGCCCCUCAUGUCCAGGGCUUCACGCAUGCUACAAUGGCUGGUACAGAGAGUGGCGAGCCUGUGAGGGUGAGCGAAUCUCGGAAAGCCGGUCUCAGUUCGGAUUGGGGUCUGCAACUCGACCUCAUGAAGUCGGAGUCGCUAAUAAUCGCAGAUCAGCAACGCUGCGGUGAAUACGUUCCCGGG
This 1343-nucleotide ribosomal RNA is filed under the name uncultured bacterium. RNAcentral describes it as "16S ribosomal RNA". It matches the Rfam family "Bacterial small subunit ribosomal RNA", at positions 28 to 1378 of the family's 1533-position model. The record is from RNAcentral.